RNAcentral lists this ribosomal RNA (497 nucleotides) under uncultured bacterium. RNAcentral describes it as "partial 16S ribosomal RNA". It matches the Rfam family "Bacterial small subunit ribosomal RNA", at positions 28 to 507 of the family's 1533-position model. The record is from RNAcentral.
GAUGAACGCUGGCGGCGUGCCUAAUACAUGCAAGUCGAGCGAACAGAUGAGGAGUUUGCUCCUCUGACGUUAGCGGCGGACGGGUGAGUAACACGUGGAUAACCUACCUAUAAGACUGGGAUAACUUCGGGACACCGGAGCUAAUACCGGAUAAUAUAUUGAACCGCAUGGUUCAAUAGUGAAAGUCGGUUUUGCUGUCACUUAUAGAUGGCUCCGCGCCGCAUUAGCUAGUUGGUAAGGUAACGGCUUACCAAGGCAACGAUGCGUAGCCGACGUGAGAGGGUGAUCGGCCACACGGGAGCGGGGACACGGACCAGACUCCUGCGGGAGGGAGCAGUAGGGAACGUGCGGCAAUGGGCGAGAGCCUUACGGAGCGAGGGCGCGUGAGUGAUAACGGUCUCCGGAGCGUAAAGCUCUGUUAUUAGGGAAGAACAAAUGUGUAAGUAACUGUGCACGUCGUGACGGUACCUAAACAGAAAGCCACGGCUAACUACGUG